AGGAUGAACGCUGGCGGCGUGCUUAACACAUGCAAGUCGAACGAUGAAGCGGAGCUUGCUCUGUGGAUUAGUGGCGAACGGGUGAGUAACACGUGAGUAACCUGCCCUUGACUCUGGGAUAAGCACUGGAAACGGUGUCUAAUACCGGAUACGAGCUUCAGCCGCAUGGCUAGGAGUUGGAAAGAAUUUCGGUCAAGGAUGGACUCGCGGCCUAUCAGGUAGUUGGUGAGGUAAUGGCCCACCAAGCCUACGACGGGUAGCCGGCCUGAGAGGGUGACCGGCCACACUGGGACUGAGACACGGCCCAGACUCCUACGGGAGGCAGCAGUGGGGAAUAUUGCACAAUGGGCGCAAGCCUGAUGCAGCAACGCCGCGUGAGGGACGACGGCCUUCGGGUUGUAACCUCUUUAGUAGGAAGAAGCGAAAGUGACGGUACCUGCAGAAAAGCACCGGCUAACUACGCGCCAGCAGCCGCGGU
RNAcentral lists this ribosomal RNA (478 nucleotides) under uncultured bacterium. RNAcentral's name for it is "SSU rRNA". It matches the Rfam family "Bacterial small subunit ribosomal RNA", at positions 26 to 521 of the family's 1533-position model. The record is from RNAcentral.